Molecule: ribosomal RNA, 497 nt
Filed under: uncultured bacterium
Lineage: Bacteria
Description: partial 16S ribosomal RNA
Rfam family: Bacterial small subunit ribosomal RNA
Source: RNAcentral
GAUGAACGCUGGCAGCGUGCCUAAUACAUGCAAGUCGAGCGAACAGACGAGGAGCUUGCUCCUCUGACGUUAGCGGCGGACGGGUGAGUAACACGUGGAUAACCUACCUAUAAGACUGGGAUAACUUCGGGAAACCGGAGCUAAUACCGGAUAAUAUAUUGAACCGCAUGGUUCAAUAGUGAAAGACGGCUUUGCUGUCACUUAUAGAUGGAUCCGCGCCGCAUUAGCUAGUUGGUAAGGUAACGGCUUACCAAGGCGACGAUGCGUAGCCGACCUGAGAGGGUGAUCGGCCACACUGGAACUGAGACACGGUCCAGACUCCUACGGGAGGCAGCAGUAGGGAAUCUUCCGCAAUGGGCGAAAGCCUGACGGAGCAACGCCGCGUGAGUGAUGAAGGUCUUCGGAUCGUAAAACUCUGUUAUUAGGGAAGAACAAAUGUGUAAGUAACUAUGCACGUCUUGACGGUACCUAAUCAGAAAGCCACGGCUAACUACGUG